UAAAUUAUCCGUGUAAUUAAUUCAGUAUAGGUGUGAUAUUAUAUUUUGAAGAUGUUGUUAUCCAAUAUUGAAAUGUUUUAAGUUAGUAUUUAUCUGUUCUCUAGGAAACCAUCAGGAAAUGAGAAGUGAAAUCUUCGAAUUGUCGGUGCGAUGUACAAACGUUCUCCGUUGUGGGCGGAAAGAUUCUAAACCUGUACAAACACCGAAAAAGACUACCUCAGUCAUCGCAUGUUGCUUACAGUGUUUACACUUUUACCCUCCAUGCAUAUCCAUAUCUUUUAACAGGAAGACGUACAAAUGCACACAGUUUACUUACUUGGGGUUGCCCAACAAGGUCAAAAACGACGAAAUGAUAUAUUAUUCCAUUAAACCAUACUUUACUGACUGCAGCCAAAUUCCAAAGGGACUGCCGCGAUCAAAAUCUGGCAUUUAUGCCUUGACAACUGGAAAAGAAACGUUUCUUGCGAUGUGCGAAAUAGAUGAUAACGAGGGUUGGACCGUGUUGCAGAGACGACAAAAUAGCACCUUUAAUUUUAACAGAACAUGGGCUGAAUACCAACGGGGAUUCGGUCAUUUACGUAGAGACUUUUAGUUCGGGCUCGACUUUAUGCACAAGCUCACGUCCGGCGGGCAUUUCCAUCUACGCAUAAAAGUCAAGACCAAAUCAGGAAAUGUUUUCUCAUCCACUUAUGCUUCAUUUCGCAUUCUAUAAGAGAGUAAAAGUUAUAUGUUGAGGAUUGGAAAGAUCAUAAAUGACGAUGGUGGUCCAGUAAUCUAUGAAGAAAAAGGGGUAAAAUUCUCAACCUACGACAUGAACAAUCGCAACUGCGUUUUAGAAGGUGGUGGCGGGUGGUGGUUUGACACAUGUUCGUAUUCAUGCUUUUUAAAUGGUUUAUAUAGUUCGAGUUUCAAGUGUAAUAUUAAUGAAAAAAUGCAACAGUUGAGUAGCUCAGUAAGGAUGAUAAAGCGUGUGUAAAAGUAAAUUCAGCUAUUUGGAAAAACUUUGUCAACAUAUAAUAUUGUAUGUAUAAAUAUUUUAAUACCACCAAAUGUAUAAAGAAUGGUCGACCCAGGCGGGUGGUGGUAAAGUCGACCCCGGAGGAAAAAUGUUUUUCCUCCGGGGUCUGAC
Long non-coding RNA from Anneissia japonica, 1129 nucleotides. RefSeq lists it as uncharacterized. The transcript has 4 exons. The record is from RefSeq and is a predicted model, not a curated record. Lineage: Eukaryota; Metazoa; Echinodermata; Crinoidea; Comatulida; Comatulidae.